This 253-nucleotide ribosomal RNA is filed under the name uncultured bacterium. RNAcentral's name for it is "partial 16S ribosomal RNA". It matches the Rfam family "Bacterial small subunit ribosomal RNA", at positions 524 to 776 of the family's 1533-position model. The record is from RNAcentral.
GACGAACCGUGCGAACGUUGUUCGGAAUCACUGGGCUUAAAGGGCGCGUAGGCGGCCGGGUUGGUCGUGGGUGAAAUCCCCCAGCUUAACUGGGGAACUGCGUGUGAUACUGGAUGGCUUGAAUUCGGGAGAGGGAUGCAGAAUUCCAGGUGUAGCGGUGAAAUGCGUAGAUAUCUGGAGGAAUACCGGUGGCGAAGGCGGCAUCCUGGACCGACAUUGACGCUGAGGAGCGAAAGCUAGGGGAGCAAACAGG